Pelobates cultripes (western spadefoot toad) is the source of this 205-nucleotide non-coding RNA. NCBI's taxonomy places the organism in Eukaryota, Metazoa, Chordata, Amphibia, Anura, Pelobatidae. The record is from the annotation of a GenBank genome assembly.
AGGAAUUCAAGCAAUGCUAAUCUGCAUACCAUGGUUGCCUCACUAGUGUCUUCCAUGGGGCAGAUUAAUGAGAGACUGGAAAGACUGGAAGCUCGUAGCGGUCCAGUUGUGAUACCAGAGCCACCCGCUAUCGAUAUCCCAGGGCCAUCACAAGCCCAACCUGGUAAUCCUAAUACCCCCACCAUCCUUGGGUCACAAGUGAUCA